AGAAGACAUAGCUGCUACUCUUGCAGCCUUGAAUACCGAAAUAGAUAUCAGCAUCAUGUACCGUGGUCUUGACCCUAAGAGCAUAUAUAGCUUAGCUUCUGUGGUUUGCUAUUAUGGACAGCAUUAUCAUUGCUUUGCAUAUAGUCAUGAACACGAUCGGUGGAUCAUGUACGAUGACAAAACUGUAAAGGUGAUCGGUAGCAGGAGUGAUGUACUUUCUAUGUGCAAGAAAGGACACUUGCAGCCACAGCUUCUUCUCUACGAGAAGCAACGUUAACCAAAAAGAAAAAGCGAAGCCAAAAAAUAGAGUAAGUGGAGAUAUGGUGCUACGGUUUAAAAGAUCUCCCAAGUACAUACUAAAAAGGAAGUAAGUAUUUUUUUUACAAUCAGAGCGAGAGGAAAAAAUGUGAUAUACUCAUCAGUGGUUGAAAGAAGAU
Brassica oleracea var. oleracea is the source of this 437-nucleotide long non-coding RNA. RefSeq lists it as uncharacterized. The record is from RefSeq and is a predicted model, not a curated record. The transcript has 3 exons. NCBI's taxonomy places the organism in Eukaryota, Viridiplantae, Streptophyta, Magnoliopsida, Brassicales, Brassicaceae.